RNAcentral lists this ribosomal RNA (594 nucleotides) under uncultured bacterium. RNAcentral's name for it is "partial 16S ribosomal RNA". It matches the Rfam family "Bacterial small subunit ribosomal RNA", at positions 355 to 1376 of the family's 1533-position model. The record is from RNAcentral.
UGGGGAAUCUUCCGCAAUGGACGAAAGUCUGACGGAGCAACGCCGCGUGUAUGAUGAAGGUCUUCGGAUUGUAAAGUACUGUCAUUGGGGAAGAACGGUUUUCUUGAAAAGAUUGAGAAGACAUGACGGUACCCAAGGAGGAAGCCCCGGCUAACUACGUGCCAGCAGCCGCGGUAAUACGUAGGGGGCAAGCGUUGUCCGGAAUUAUUGGGCGUAAAGGGCGCGUAGGCGGGCCUUUAAGUCCGGUGUGAAAGAUCAGGGCUCAACCCUGAGAGUGCAUCGGAAACUGGAGGCCUUGAGGACAGGAGAGGAAAGUGGAAUUCCACGUGUAGCGGUGAAAUGCGUAGAUAUGUGGAGGAACACCAGUGGCGAAGGCGACUUUCUGGACUGUAACUGACGCUGAGGCGCGAAAGCGUGGGGAGCAAACAGGAUUAGAUACCCUGGUAGUCCACGCCGUAAACGAUGAGUGCUAGGUGUAGAGGGUAUCGACCCCCUUCUGUGCCGCAGUUAACACAAUAAGCACUCCCGCCUGGGGAGUACGGCCNCAAGGUUGAAACUCAAAUGAAUUGACGGGGGUCAUAGCUGUUUUUCCCU